AGUGAACGCUGGCGGUAGGCCUAACACAUGCAAGUCGAACGGCAGCACAGUAAGAGCUUGCUCUUACGGGUGGCGAGUGGCGGACGGGUGAGGAAUACAUCGGAAUCUACUUUUUCGUGGGGGAUAACGUAGGGAAACUUACGCUAAUACCGCAUACGACCUACGGGUGAAAGCAGGGGAUCUUCGGACCUUGCGCGAUUGAAUGAGCCGAUGUCGGAUUAGCUAGUUGGCGGGGUAAAGGCCCACAAAGGCGACGAUCCGUAGCUGGUCUGAGAGGAUGGUCAGCCACACUGGAACUGAGACACGGUCCAGCCUCCUACGGGAGGCAGCAGUGGGGAAUAUUGGACAAUGGGCGCAAGCCUGAUCCAGCCAUACCGCGUGGGUGAAGAAGGCCUUCGGGUUGUAAAGCCCUUUUGUUGGGAAAGAAAAGCAGCAGGUUAAUACCCCGCUGUUCUGACGGUACCCAAAGAAUAAGCACCGGCUAACUUCGG
Molecule: ribosomal RNA, 491 nt
Filed under: uncultured bacterium
Lineage: Bacteria
Description: partial 16S ribosomal RNA
Rfam family: Bacterial small subunit ribosomal RNA
Source: RNAcentral